RNAcentral lists this ribosomal RNA (394 nucleotides) under uncultured bacterium. RNAcentral's name for it is "bacterial SSU rRNA". It matches the Rfam family "Bacterial small subunit ribosomal RNA", at positions 28 to 417 of the family's 1533-position model. The record is from RNAcentral.
GAUGAACGCUAGCUACAGGCUUAACACAUGCAAGUCGAGGGGCAGCACUAGGUAGCAAUACUGAGGUGGCGACCGGCGCACGGGUGCGUAACGCGUAUCCAACCUUCCCGAUACUCUUGGAUAGCCUUCCGAAAGGGAGAUUAAUACAAGAUGGUGUUUCACUUUCGCAUGUUAUUGAAACUAAAGAUUUAUCGGUAUCGGAUGGGGAUGCGUGACAUUAGAUAGUAGGCGGGGUAACGGCCCACCUAGUCUACGAUGUCUAGGGGUUCUGAGAGGAAGGUCCCCCANACUGGAACUGAGACACGGUCCAGACUCCUACGGGAGGCAGCAGUGAGGAAUAUUGGUCAAUGGUCGGAAGACUGAACCAGCCAAGUAGCGUGAAGGAUGAAGGUUC